AACAAGUUCAAGAAGAGACUGACAUGGAUUUCUUUGUUGAAGAACUAGAGCAACUGGAAAAUGACUUGGAUGUGGGAAGAACAAACAGGACAACAAAUCCCAAAAAGGAAGACAAACUGAAAGUCAUGAAAAAAAGUUCAAACGUACAACAUGCUACAGAUAAUGACAAACAAAGAAAAGUAAUAAAAGGAAGUCCAAAUGAACAAAAUACCAAUAGACAUGUUAAAAUUGUAACGAAACAAGUUCAAGAAGAGACUGACAUGGAUUUUUUUCUUGCAGAGUUAGAGCAACUGGAAAAUGACUUGGAUGUGGGAAUAAAGAACAGGACAACAAAUCCCAAAAAGGAAGACAAACUGAAAGUCAUGAAAAAAAGUUCAAACGUACAACAUGCUACAGAUAAUGACAAACAAAGAAAAGUAAUAAAAGGAAGUCCAAAUGAACAAAAUACCAAUAGACAUGUUAAAAUUGUAACGAAACAAGUUCAAGAAGAGACUGACAUGGAUUUUUUUCUUGCAGAGUUAGAGCAACUGGAAAAUGACUUGGAUGUGGGAAUAAAGAACAGGACAACAAAUCCCAAAAAGGAAGACAAACUGAAAGUCAUGAAAAAAAGUUCAAACGUACAACAUGCUACAGAUAAUGACAAACAAAGAAAAGUAAUAAAAGGAAGUCCAAAUGAACAAAAUGCCAAAGGACAUGUUAAAAUUGUAAGGAAACAUGUUCAAGAAGAGACUGACAUGGAUUUUUUUCUUGCAGAGUUAGAGCAACUGGAAAAUGACUUGGAUGUGGGAGUAAUGCACAGAACAUCAAGUCCAAAACAUCAAAUCCAAAUCCAAAACGAAGACAAACUAAAAUUUGUGGAUGAAAGUCAUAAGGAACAACAUGCUACAGAGGAUGAUAAACAGAGCAAAGUUGUCAAAGGAAAUGCAAAGCAACAACAUGAUAUGAAGUUAGAGAAACAAGCAAAAGACGAAACCGAAGGGAAUUUGUCAAGUGCCUGGGGAUCAAAUUCCAAAAAGGUAGACACACUUAAAGAUGCAAAAGAAAGUUCCAAGGACAAACAUGCUAGAGAGGAUGACAAAAAAAGAAAAGAAAAUGAACUCAUUCAAGAUGAAAAAACUGCCAAAGAACAUGUGAAAAAUAUAGGCAAACAAGUUGAAGAGACUACCAUGGAUUUGGUAAUUGAAGACCUUGAACUGCUGGAAAGUGGGAAUGAUGGGGGAUUGAAGCUCAAGAGAUCAAAUACUAAAAUGGAAGACAAACUUAAAGUGACAAAAGAAAGUCCAAAUGAAGAACAGGCUAAAAGAUUCGAGACACAAGUAAAAAAAGAAACCAAAGUGAAUUUGUCUAUUGAAAAGCUAGCACUAAUGGAAAAAGGCACCGAUGGAGGAAUGAAGAACAUGAGAUCAAAUCCCAAAAAGGAAAACAAACAAAGAAAAGCACUGAAAGAAAGACAAAUAGAACAAAAUGCCAAAGGAAGUAACAACGGAAAGACAAAGGACACACAAGUCAUAGAAGAGACCGACGCAACCUACAAGAAAGAAAUCCAAACAGAGAUGCCGAAGUCAAUUCUUGACAAGAUACGCAAUAAAAUCGACCAACACAGAAUCCAAAAGAAGGAAAAACAGAAACAAAAAAAUCUUAAAUUCCUUCAAGAAGCAUUGACCACUCAUGAAGUAUUAGAUGUGGCAUUAAACAUACAUGCCAAAAAGAAGCCUAGAAAAUGGGUCAAAUGCCAGGAUUUUUCAAUAUUUCAGUGUAAAUGAACUGCACCGUAGAUUCCCUGGAUGCUGCAAUCAACUGAAACGUGCCAUGUGGUUCUGGAACAUGAUUUUCUUCAUUUGUAUUCAAGAUCAA
Molecule: long non-coding RNA, 1854 nt
Organism: Esox lucius (northern pike)
Lineage: Eukaryota; Metazoa; Chordata; Actinopteri; Esociformes; Esocidae
Source: Ensembl